Molecule: ribosomal RNA, 541 nt
Filed under: Saturnispora silvae
Lineage: Eukaryota; Fungi; Ascomycota; Pichiomycetes; Pichiales; Pichiaceae
Description: eukaryotic LSU rRNA
Rfam family: Eukaryotic large subunit ribosomal RNA
Source: RNAcentral
AAACCAACAGGGAUUGCCUCAGUAGCGGCGAGUGAAGCGGCAAAAGCUCCAUUUUGAAAGCUCUUCGGAGCGUUGUAGAUUGGUGGGAAGCUAACGGCUGGUGGGAGACCAAGUCCUCUGGAACGAGGCGCCAUAGAGGGUGAGAGCCCCGUGUGUCUCCUUUACCGACCUUUCAGCCCCCUCCGCGGAGUCGAGUUGUUUGGGAAUGCAGCUCUAAGUGGGUGGUAAAUUCCAUCUAAGGCUAAAUAUUGGCGAGAGCCCGAUAGCGAACAAGUACAGUGAUGGAAAGAUGAAAAGCACUUUGAAAAGAGAGUGAAACAGUACGUGAAAUUGUUGAAAGGGAAGGGUAUUUGGCCCGACAUGGGUCCUAUGCACCGUUGCCUCUCGUGGGCGGCGCUCUGCUUGGGCCUGGGCCAGCGUCAGUUUGGAGGGGGCGAGAAGGGUUUUGGGGAGUUGCCUAGCAAUUCCCCUUUGCUAGAUUGCCCCACACCGGACUGAGGACCGCCAUCUGUAGGAUGCUGGCACAACGGCCAAAUACCGC